GACGAACGCUGGCGGCGUGCCUAACACAUGCAAGUCGAACGGAAAGGCCCUGAUUUUGUGGGGUGCUCGAGUGGCGAACGGGUGAGUAACACGUGAGCAACCUGCCCUUGAUUUUGGGAUAACUUCAGGAAACUGGGGCUAAUACCGGAUAGGAGCUCCUGCUGCAGGGUGGGGGGUGGAACGUUUCGGCGGUUGGGGAUGGACUAGCGGGUUAUCAGUUUGUUGGUGGGGUAGGGGCAUACCAAGGCUGUGACGGGUAGCCGGCCUGUGAGGGUGACCGGGCACACUGGGAGUGAGCGACGGCAUUGACUCCUAGGUGCGGCCCAAGCUGCGACUGGUGGAAAAUGGGCGGAAUCUUGAUCAAUGGGUGCAGGCCGGAUGCAGCAGGGCCGCGGGCGGGAAAACGGCCUUGGGGUUGUAGAACGCUUUCGCCUGUAACGAAGCGUGAGUGGCGGUAAUGGGUAGAAAAACACCGGGUAAAUACGGGG
This 488-nucleotide ribosomal RNA is filed under the name uncultured bacterium. Its description in RNAcentral is "partial 16S ribosomal RNA". It matches the Rfam family "Bacterial small subunit ribosomal RNA", at positions 28 to 508 of the family's 1533-position model. The record is from RNAcentral.